CGGUCUUUUUCUUCAAUUCCUCCUCGAGAAGAAACACGCAAACAUCUGCAAUCGCUGUUACAAAUACAACAACCACCACCACGGCAACACCUUAUUUCUAUUUUUGUUUUUCUCCUCAAUCCCAAGCACUCAUUGCGGAGUGGCUUCACACGGACUCAAAAAGAACAAUUGUAGGAGUGGAUAUGGACCUUGAGAAACUUGAAUGGAGCUUAAGGAAUAAUGUUGAUUCAAAUGGGUUCUAGCUUUACCAAUAAGGCUUCAACUAGGGAUGUAAUGAAACUUAAGGAUGC
Papaver somniferum (opium poppy) is the source of this 290-nucleotide long non-coding RNA. RefSeq lists it as uncharacterized. The record is from RefSeq and is a predicted model, not a curated record. The transcript is spliced from 3 exons. Lineage: Eukaryota; Viridiplantae; Streptophyta; Magnoliopsida; Ranunculales; Papaveraceae.